This 1431-nucleotide unclassified non-coding RNA is filed under the name uncultured fungus. RNAcentral describes it as "sequence contains 18S rRNA gene, ITS1, 5.8S rRNA gene, ITS2, 28S rRNA gene". The stretch from base 492 to 1431 matches the Rfam family "Eukaryotic large subunit ribosomal RNA", at positions 1 to 961 of the family's 3401-position model. Lineage: Eukaryota; Fungi. The record is from RNAcentral.
GGAAGGAUCAUUACCGAGUACCGGGUCUUCGGGCCCUUACUCCCACCCUAUGUGUACCUACCAUUUUUCGUUGCCUUGGCGGGGUCGAUCCCAAGGGUCUCACGACCCGCGGGGGACUCGCCAGGGGAACACACCUAAACCCUGUUAACCGUAACGUCUGAGAAAAAAUUAAACAAGUUAAAACUUUCAACAACGGAUCUCUUGGUUCUGGCAUCGAUGAAGAACGCAGCGAAAUGCGAUAAGUAAUGUGAAUUGCAGAAUUCAGUGAAUCAUCGAAUCUUUGAACGCACAUUGCGCCCUUUGGUAUUCCGAAGGGCAUGCCUGUUCGAGCGUCAUUUCAAACCUCAAGCUCACGCUUGGUAUUGGGCAUCGUCCGUUAAGGACGUGCCAGAAACCCGUAGGCAGUGGUGUCCAUCUCCCAGCGUAGUCAAUUCUAUCCGCUUCGGAGCUUAGGCAUUACCCGCCCGACAACCUCUAAAUCUUCUAUGGUUUGACCUCGGAUCAGGUAGGGAUACCCGCUGAACUUAAGCAUAUCAAUAAGCGGAGGAAAAGAAACCAACAGGGAUUGCCUCAGUAACGGCGAGUGAAGCGGCAACAGCUCAAAUUUGAAAUCUGGUCCUUUCAGGGCUCGAGUUGUAAUUUGUAGAGGAAGUUUCGGCUUACGCCCCGGUCUAAGUUCCUUGGAAUAGGACGUCAGAGAGGGUGAGAACCCCGUUUGUGGCCGGCGGCUUCCGCCAUGUGAAGCUCCUUCGACGAGUCGAGUUGUUUGGGAAUGCAGCUCUAAAUGGGAGGUAAAUUUCUUCUAAAGCUAAAUACCGGCCAGAGACCGAUAGCGCACAAGUAGAGUGAUCGAAAGAUGAAAAGCACUUUGGAAAGAGAGUUAAAAAGUACGUGAAAUUGUUGAAAGGGAAGCGCUUGCGACCAGACUUGCCCGCGGAUGCUCAGCCGGUCCUUCGGCCGGUGUACUCUUCCGCGGUCAGGCCAGCAUCAGUUUGGGCGGUCGGAUAAAGGCCUUGGGAAUGUAGCUCCCCUCGGGGAGUGUUAUAGCCCUCGGUGCAAUGCGGCCCGCCUGGACUGAGGUACGCGCUUCGGCUAGGAUGCUGGCGUAAUGGUCGUAAGCGGCCCGUCUUGAAACACGGACCAAGGAGUCUAACAUCUAUGCGAGUGUUUGGGUGUCAAACCCGUGCGCGAAAUGAAAGUGAACGGAGGUGGGAGCCCUCGGGCGCACCAUCGACCGAUCCUGAUGUCUUCGGAUGGAUUUGAGUAAGAGCAUAGCUGUUGGGACCCGAAAGAUGGUGAACUAUGCCUGAAUAGGGUGAAGCCAGAGGAAACUCUGGUGGAGGCUCGCAGCGGUUCUGACGUGCAAAUCGAUCGUCAAAUUUGGGUAUAGGGGCGAAAGACUAAUCGAACCAUCUAGUAGCUGGUUCCUGC